This 612-nucleotide ribosomal RNA is filed under the name uncultured bacterium. RNAcentral describes it as "bacterial SSU rRNA". The stretch from base 1 to 518 matches the Rfam family "Bacterial small subunit ribosomal RNA", at positions 338 to 873 of the family's 1533-position model. The record is from RNAcentral.
CCUACGGGAGGCAGCAGUGGGGAAUCUUGCGCAAUGGGCGAAAGCCUGACGCAGCCAUGCCGCGUGAAUGAUGAAGGUCUUAGGAUUGUAAAAUUCUUUCACCGGGGACGAUAAUGACGGUACCCGGAGAAGAAGCCCCGGCUAACUUCGUGCCAGCAGCCGCGGUAAUACGAAGGGGGCUAGCGUUGCUCGGAAUUACUGGGCGUAAAGGGAGCGUAGGCGGAUAGUUUAGUCAGAGGUGAAAGCCCAGGGCUCAACCUUGGAAUUGCCUUUGAUACUGGCUAUCUUGAGUACGGAAGAGGUAUGUGGAACUCCGAGUGUAGAGGUGAAAUUCGUAGAUAUUCGGAAGAACACCAGUGGCGAAGGCGACAUACUGGUCCGUUACUGACGCUGAGGCUCGAAAGCGUGGGGAGCAAACAGGAUUAGAUACCCUGGUAGUCCACGCUGUAAACGAUGAGUGCUAGUUGUCGGCAUGCAUGCAUGUCGGUGACGCAGCUACGCAUUAAGUACACUCCGCCGUCGGGGAGGUACGGUCGGCGAAGAAUUAAAACGUUAAAAGGUAAGUUAGACGGCGUGAGACGUCGCCGACGGACGACGACGAGGGAGGUUAGG